Molecule: long non-coding RNA, 3254 nt
Filed under: Sus scrofa (pig)
Lineage: Eukaryota; Metazoa; Chordata; Mammalia; Artiodactyla; Suidae
Description: lncRNA (ENSSSCG00035017123.1)
Source: RNAcentral
AUACUUCAGGAGGUUUUUUUCUUGCCCGUUGAAAUUCAUCCAGAAGACCCCUGGGCUUGGUUCCAGCCUGUAUCCAGCAGCUCCUGAGAUUAGCCAGCCAGAACGGAAGUCCAGCUGUUCAGUGAUGCUAUCAGCCUCGGGAUGGCUCCCGUCCCCAUGCAUAUCAUGUCUAAUUUUAACAUCUUGCGCUUCACUGCCAAUGGACUUUGACAAAGCCCAGUGUGGACCAGGGUGGUCCAGUGUGGGGGAGAAUCAGGUAGACCUGUGUUCAAAUCUGUCUUCUGCCAUUAUAAUCUGUGAGCUUGAACAGUUCCCUCCACCUCCCUAAACCACUCUUUGCUCAUCAUGAGAAGACACGAGGGAGGGGACCACUUACAUAGUUGGGCUUCAGUAUUUAUUCCUGACUCUGAGUAAACAGAAGUAUUAUUUUGAUUAUGAUGAUGAUUCUAUAACACAGACUCUGCCUGGCACAUAGUAAGCACUCGAUGAAUGAUACAUAUUAUCAUAAUGUAUAUUGCAGAUUUACCUCUUUCUGAAUUUGGUGAGUUUGACCACAGAUUCCAUGAAGUAGGGACAAAAUCUGUCUGAUUUAUCACUUGGUCCUCAUUGCCCAGUUCAGCCUGGCAUGCAAUAGGUGGUACGUACUUUUGAAGCCAUCACGAUGUGAUCCGUAUUUUUUUUGGUCUGCUUUAAAAUCACACCUAAUGGUCCUGGCGAGGCAACACUCCCAGACAUUCUCCUGCCUCCUUCACUUCCUCCAUCUCAACGUGAUGGAAUAUGUUUAAUAUAUUUGGCUCUACCUUGGGAAGGAAGGGAGAGAAGGCAGCUCAAACUCUUCUUAUGACCCGAAGCUUAAGGAGAGGGAAUUCUUCAUAAUUGUAUCUAGUCAAUAGCAAUGCAGAAACUUAAUCAUCAGGAUUGUCUAAUUGCUCCCUUGGAAUUGACUGAGAUGCUUGCUGUCCUGAGAUUUUGCUGAAUUCCAUCUCCUAACACGAGCUUGCUUAUCUGGUUUCAGGUUUUUGAUUUACGCUUUGUCUCCUCUGGCUAGUUUUUAGAAAAGUUAGAACCCUUUUGUGGCUUUACAACAAAAAAGAUAAUAUAUGAGGUUGGGGAGAUUUUUUUUUUUGUUGUUGUUGUUAUUGGGAAUACAUCAAAAAUCAUCAAUAAACCAGGCAGAACAAUGCUUGAUACAUUUAGGAGAAAACUGAUUGCAGCAGCAAUAGCUGCUUUAAACUAAUGCCUGGUUGCGUCAUUAUUCAAACAAAUACAGGAGCUACAUCAGUUUUAAUUUCUGUCUUGUUUAAAAACGAGCAGGUUUCUUUUCAGCAAAUGACGGUUGAUGAUCUGGAUCUUAACAUUAAAAGAGAGGAAAAUUUUCCACCAUUUUCUGACUUGUUCAUGUUGUAUAUUCCUCACAUUUUCAGCACCUCAAACCUGUAAUUUGCAGAAUAUGUUUUAUAAAAGCAGAAUUAGUCGUAUGGGCUUGUUUUUGUGUUUGUAUGGGUGUUGGAAGUGUGUUAGUGAGGUGUGUAUGGAAAGAGGCAUGUGGCUUUUUUCGUUUAACCUAGAUGAGACAGGCAAUUGGAAUGUUCCUUUUGUUCAAAAAGCAUGUAUUCAGAAAACACAUUGCCUCUCAACUUCACUGAGUAACCUCUCUUUAGGUAUUAAUGGAAUGAGUGAAUAGAAGCUUCCAUUUUGCCUUGUCUGGUAUCACUCAAAGGCUGAUUUUAUGUUAAAUUAUAGGUAAUUGCCUAGCCACAUCAAAAUAUUUUAAAAAAAUUGAAAGCAAGAAUAGCCAGCCUCUUUAUUCCCACUGUGUCUAGGAAAGGCUGUUGAGAUUCAAAGAAAGUAAACAAUUGAGGGUCUGGGGGUUUCAGUUUUCUUCCCCGUCCCUCAUUAUGAAAAUAUGGGAAACAUGCAGAAAAAUGUUUGAAAAGUCAACAGAAAACAUUUGUUGUAUAAAGUUUUGUCAUCUAAUUGCAACUACUGUUAAUGGUUUUGAAUGUGGUCUCAGGCUUUUUUCCAUAGAUGGGUUCACGUAAAAGAGUUGAGAUAAUAGGGCACAUACCUUUUUAUGUCCUAAUUUUUCUUUCAUGUAACUUACAGUCAUGCUUUUGUGCUCUUAUGCAUUUAUAGCCGUCCAAUAUCUUCAUGGGUGAGUAAACCAUAUUUGACUCAACUGUUCUUCUAGUGUUAAAUAUUUAGGGCGUUUCCAUUAUUUUUGCUCCACAAAUGUGUGGACUUCUUAAGUAGAUGCAUGUGGUCUGGCCCACCUGUUUCUUCCCAUUCUCAAACUUUUGUGAUUGGCUUAUACUUCGUUUUGUGGUGUCUUAACUUGGCUUUUCCACUAGGCCAAAUGACCUUCUAUCUUUUUAAUAAAAUUUCCACCGCUUUACCAGGGGAUGGUUGCAGGCUUAAAGUACCCCAGUGAUUUACUGCAAUUGACCGACAAUCUUGACCCCAGUGUAGAAACGUUAUUGCCCUGAGCCCAAAGAAUGGAGCUCUAGUUGCCUUCAGCCAAGAGAGAAACUUGGCUGAACUUGGCCUUGUCUUUUAAAGUGGAGUUUUAAUAAUUUAAGAUUUGCUUCCCUUAAAACCUCUUUUAAAUCUCCAAUCAUCAGAAGUUUCUUAUGUUUAACUAUAGGUUGCUCGUAUGGAACAUGGGUUACUUUAUACCCAAAAUGCAUGGCUUAUUUAUUUAAUUUAUUUUUUUUCUAUUGAAAUACAGUUGAUUUACAAUGUUGUGUUAUUUUCUGCUGUACAGUGAAGUGAUUCAAUUAUACAUGGAGAUAUAUUUCUUUUUUAUAUUCUUUUCCUUUCUGGUUUAUCAUUGAAUAUUGAAUAUAGUUUCUUGUGCUAUACAGUAGGACCUUGUUGUUUCUCCAUUCUGUAUAUAAUAGUUUGCAUUUGCUAAUCCCCACACUCCCAGUUCCUCCCUCCCCAACCCAGUUGGCAACCACAAGUCUGUUGUCUAUGUCUGAGUCUGUUUCUGUUUCAUAAAAUUCUGUGUCAUAGGAGUUCCCAUGGUGGUGCAGUGGUUAACAGAUCCGACUGGGAACCAUGAGGUUGCGGGUUCGACCCCUGGCCUUGCUCAGUGGGUUGAGGAUCCGGCGUUGCCAUGAGCUGUGGUGUAGGUUGCAGACGCGGCUCGGAUCCCUGCGUUGCUGUGGCUCUGGCGUGGGCCGGUGGCUACAGCUCUGAUUCAACCCCUGGACUGGGAACCUCCAUAUGCCGCAGGAGAGGCUCAAGAAAAG